This 73-nucleotide transfer RNA is filed under the name Thermoplasmata archaeon. Its description in RNAcentral is "tRNA-Gln". It matches the Rfam family "tRNA". From Rfam's summary of the family: Transfer RNA (tRNA) molecules are approximately 80 nucleotides in length. Their secondary structure includes four short double-helical elements and three loops (D, anti-codon, and T loops). RNAcentral also lists the same sequence under 1 other name. The record is from RNAcentral. Lineage: Archaea; Methanobacteriati; Thermoplasmatota; Thermoplasmata.
AGCCCCGUGGUGUAGAGGACAAUCAUCUCGGACUUUGGAUCCGAGGACGGGGGUUCGAAUCCUCCCGGGGCUA